ACGGAAGGCAGCAGUGGGGAAUAUUGCACAAUGGGCGAAAGCCUGAUGCAGCGACGCCGCGUGAGUGAUGAAGUAUUUCGGUAUGUAAAGCUCUAUCAGCAGGGAAGAUAAUGACGGUACCUGACUAAGAAGCACCGGCUAAAUACGUGCCAGCAGCCGCGGUAAUACGUAUGGUGCAAGCGUUAUCCGGAUUUACUGGGUGUAAAGGGAGCGCAGGCGGUACGGCAAGUCUGAUGUGAAAGCCCGGGGCUCAACCCCGGUACUGCAUUGGAAACUGUCGAACUAGAGUGUCGGAGGGGUAAGUGGAAUUCCUAGUGUAGCGGUGAAAUGUGUAGAUAUUAGGAGGAACACCAGUGGCGAAGGCGACUUACUGGACGAUAACUGACGCUGAGGCUCGAAAGCGUGGGGAGCAAACAGGAUUAGAUACCCUGGUA
Molecule: ribosomal RNA, 434 nt
Filed under: uncultured Roseburia sp.
Lineage: Bacteria; Bacillati; Bacillota; Clostridia; Lachnospirales; Lachnospiraceae
Description: partial 16S ribosomal RNA
Rfam family: Bacterial small subunit ribosomal RNA
Source: RNAcentral